Molecule: ribosomal RNA, 492 nt
Filed under: uncultured bacterium
Lineage: Bacteria
Description: partial 16S ribosomal RNA
Rfam family: Bacterial small subunit ribosomal RNA
Source: RNAcentral
AGUGAACGCUGGCGGUAGGCCUAACACAUGCAAGUCGAACGGCAGCACAGCAAGAGCUUGCUCUUACGGGUGGCGAGUGGCGGACGGGUGAGGAAUACAUCGGAAUCUACUUUUUCGUGGGGGAUAACGUAGGGAAACUUACGCUAAUACCGCAUACGACCUACGGGUGAAAGCAGGGGAUCUUCGGACCUUGCGCGAUUGAAUGAGCCGAUGUCGGAUUAGCUAGUUGGCGGGGUAAAGGCCCACCAAGGCGACGAUCCGUAGCUGGUCUGAGAGGAUGAUCAGCCACACUGGAACUGAGACACGGUCCAGACUCCUACGGGAGGCAGCAGUGGGGAAUAUUGGUCAAUGGGCGCAAGCCUGAUCCAGCCAUACCGCGUGGGUGAAGAAGGCCUUCGGGUUGUAAAGCCCUUUUGUUGGGAAAGAAAAGCAGCAGGUUAAUACCCCGCUGUUCUGACGGUACCCAAAGAAUAAGCACCGGCUAACUUCGUG